GUUUGAUUGUAUCUUCCUGUAUUUCUUUAAGGGAUUUAUUCAUUUUUUUCUUUAAAGGCCUCUAUCAUCUUCAUAAGAUUGAGUGAAUGUCAUUUUCUUGUGCUUUACUUGUGUUAGGAUAUCCAGGGUUUCUGUAGUAAGAUAGCUAUGCUCUGAAGAUGGCCUAUUUCAUUUGGUCUUGUUGGUUAUGUUCUUAUGCUGGCCUUUAGUCAUCUGGUCCCUGGAUUUUAUAGGUGUAACAGGUAUCAGGAGAUUUGGCCUAACCUGGAUGUUCCUGGUGCAGCAGGCCUCUGGUGGGCAGCCUUGGCCUGGACAAUGGAUCUCAUGGGGCAGACUCAGAGCAGCUGGUUGUGCUCCAGGUGACAUAGAGGGCAGGAGAUUUGGGGCAGGAGAUAGGGUCUAUCCUGUAUACUCCAAGUACAUCAGGUCUGUGUGAGGCCAGUGGAGCAGUGGCUGGACAAUGGAGCUGGGGUUGGGGGUGAGAGACACACAGCUCAAGGCAACUGGGUAUGCACCAGAGGAGUCCACCUUGUAUUUUGUUAAGAAUGUGUUUGUACAGAUUUUCAUGUUUUGUUUCAUUGUCAUAUAAUAUCAGAACAAUUAAAAGAUUAUCAGUGGUUGUCAUAUUUAAAUUUUGAGAUAUCAAAGAAUGUCCCUUGAGUGGACAUAUUAAAAUUUAUAAUGCAUUUAUGGUUGUAUGAGGGAUAUUUAUAUCAUGUUGUGCACAAUUAUGACUCUGUUAAAUAUAUAAUGCUUUUGAGAUUGUCCAUGUGAUAGGUAUAUAGGUAUAAUUAUGACCUGGCUAUUACUUCCAUUUGGAAGAUAAGCAUGAAAAAGGGAUAUAUGAAUGUGUGUCUAGAUGACAAGGGGUGGGCUUGUAAUGGCUAUUUUUGUUGUUAACUUCAUCUGGAAUCAACUAAAACCUUAGCAGGUCAGUACACCUUUGAGAGAUAAUAAAUCUAUCUCUUUGAGAAAUAAAAUUCAAUUGAAGAUGGAAAGACACACCUUUAAUCCAGAUUUUUUGAGGAUCGAAGAUACACCUAAAACUGGGUCAUACCUUGUUUUGGCAGCCUAUAUAAAAGACAUGGAAGAAGGAAGUUCCCUCUAGAGAGCUUCCCCUUACUCUUGCUAGCAAGUCUAUUCCUUCAUGAGCAUUAGGACCUACUUUUUUUUCUUAUUAGAUAUUUUCUUCAUUUACAUUUCAAAUGCUUUCCCAAAAGUCGCCUAUACCCUCUUCAUGCCCUGCUCCUCAAACUACCCACUUCUGCAUGCUGGCACGGCAUUCCCCUGUACUGGGACAUCUGAUCUUCACAAAACCAAGGGCCUCUCUUCUUAUUGAUGGCCAACUAGGUCAUCCUCUGCUACAUAUGCAACUAGAGACAUAGAUCUGGGAGGUACUAGUUAGCUAAUAUUUUUGAUCCUCCUACAGGGAUGCAGACCCCAUUAGCCCCUUGGUUACUUUCUCUGGCUCCUUAAUUAGGGGCCCCAUGUUCCUUCCAAUAGGGCCUACUUCUUUGGAAUCCAGACAUAUACUGAAAAACAUCUAAGACAUCCAACCUUGAGGACUGAAAAAUUAAUGAAUUCUUGGUAUUUCUGUUAGUAGAUUAGCUGAACUAUAUAGUCUGUAAGCCAUUCUAAUAAACAAUUCACAUACAUGCUGUAAGGUUUACUCUUCUAGAGAACCCCACCUAACACAAUACUACAAAGGCAUUUACAUUUGAUUUGGAAUGGAUAAGAAGUAAUGAAGGCAUUUGGAAAGGAACUGGAAUAGGAAAAAUGUGUGAUGCCACAUAAAAUGAGACAAAAUGUCUAACCCAAAAGGACCAAUAACAGUUUCCUAUGGAGAAAGAGCUCAGACUAUCUAAGGUAACUUCAGUAGAAGAAUCUAAGCUUGGAGAUAGGGGUUUAGCCUGCUGGCUGUGAGUGGUAACUUGGUUAUCGUGACACCAUAGGUUCAAUCCUUAGCAGUUGAAGAACAAAAGAAUAUGACUCACAGAUUAAGAGACUAGUAACCAAAGCUUUUCAUUGUAAGGUGAGCUUGAAACAUUUGUAAUGAAAAAUGAGAUUAAUCUUUUAAAGUAGAUUAACAAUGGAUCCUUUGGAGCUGGAGUUACAGAUGGUUGUAAGCCACCAUGUGGGUGCCAUAAACCAAACCUAAGUCCUCGGAAGGAACAGCAUGUGCUUUU
Molecule: long non-coding RNA, 2186 nt
Filed under: Mus musculus (house mouse)
Lineage: Eukaryota; Metazoa; Chordata; Mammalia; Rodentia; Muridae
Description: long non-coding RNA chr4:60534469-60536655
Source: RNAcentral